GACGAACGCUGGCGGCGUGCCUAAUACAUGCAAGUAGAACGCACAGUUUAUACCGUAGCUUGCUACACCAUAGACUGUGAGUUGCGAACGGGUGAGUAACGCGUAGGUAACCUGCCUGGUAGCGGGGGAUAACUAUUGGAAACGAUAGCUAAUACCGCAUAAUAUUAAUUAUUGCAUGAUAAUUAAUUGAAAGGUGCAAUUGCACCACUACCAGAUGGACCUGCGUUGUAUUAGCUAGUAGGUGAGGUAACGGCUCACCUAGGCGACGAUACAUAGCCGACCUGGGAGGGUGAUCGGCCACACUGGGACGGAGACACGGCCCAGACUCCUACGGGAGGCAGCAGUAGGGAAUCUUCGGCAAUGGACGAAAGUCUGACCGAGCAACGCCGCGGGAGUGAAGAAGGUUGUCGGAUCGGAAAGCUCGGUUGUAAGAGAAGAACGGGUGUGAGAGUGGAAAGUUCACACUGUGACGGUAUCUGACCAGAAAGGGACGGCUAACUACGUG
RNAcentral lists this ribosomal RNA (505 nucleotides) under uncultured bacterium. RNAcentral describes it as "partial 16S ribosomal RNA". It matches the Rfam family "Bacterial small subunit ribosomal RNA", at positions 28 to 507 of the family's 1533-position model. The record is from RNAcentral.